Molecule: ribosomal RNA, 454 nt
Filed under: Cronobacter sakazakii
Lineage: Bacteria; Pseudomonadati; Pseudomonadota; Gammaproteobacteria; Enterobacterales; Enterobacteriaceae
Description: bacterial SSU rRNA
Rfam family: Bacterial small subunit ribosomal RNA
Source: RNAcentral
UAAUUGAAGAGUUUGAUCAUGGCUCAGAUUGAACGCUGGCGGCAGGCCUAACACAUGCAAGUCGAACGGUAACAGGGAGCAGCUUGCUGCUCUGCUGACGAGUGGCGGACGGGUGAGUAAUGUCUGGGAAACUGCCUGAUGGAGGGGGAUAACUACUGGAAACGGUAGCUAAUACCGCAUAACGUCUACGGACCAAAGUGGGGGACCUUCGGGCCUCAUGCCAUCAGAUGUGCCCAGAUGGGAUUAGCUAGUAGGUGGGGUAACGGCUCACCUAGGCGACGAUCCCUAGCUGGUCUGAGAGGAUGACCAGCCACACUGGAACUGAGACACGGUCCAGACUCCUACGGGAGGCAGCAGUGGGGAAUAUUGCACAAUGGGCGCAAGCCUGAUGCAGCCAUGCCGCGUGUAUGAAGAAGGCCUUCGGGUUGUAAAGUACUUUCAGCGGGGAGGAAGG